This 1596-nucleotide ribosomal RNA is filed under the name Brachymyrmex patagonicus. RNAcentral describes it as "16S ribosomal RNA". Lineage: Eukaryota; Metazoa; Arthropoda; Insecta; Hymenoptera; Formicidae. The record is from RNAcentral.
AAAUUUUAUAAUUAAAAUAUUAAUUAAUAAAUUUUUUAAUUAUUUUAUUUUUAAUUAAAAUUAUAUUAAAUAUUUUUUGAUUUUAGUAAAUAUUAUAAAAAAAUAAUUUAAAUUAUAUUUAAAGUAAUGUAAAUGAUGAAAUAUUAAAUAUUUAUAAAUAAAUUUUAUUUAUUGUACCUUUUGUAUCAGGAAUAAUUUAAAAUUAAAUUUUAAUAAUAUUAAUCUCGAAUUUUAAAGAGUUAAAUAAUUAUUGUAAAUUAAUGUUUUAAUAUUAUUUUUAAUAUUUAUUUAGAGAAUAAAUUUUAUUCAAUUUAAAAUAUAUCUAGUUUUUUUUAAUAUAAAUUUAAUUUAUAUAUAAAAUUUAAAUAAUUUAUAAUUUUAUAAUUUUUUAUUUAAUUUUAUAUAAAAAAUUUAUGGGAUAAUCUAUAAAUUAAAUAAUUAUAAUAAUUUUAUUUAAUUUUUUAUAAUAUUUUUAAUAUUGAAAAUUUCUUGAAAAAAUUUAAUAAUUUAUAAAUAAAAUUUUAAAAAUUUUAAUUUAAUUUUAAUAUAAUAUUUUUAAUAUUGAAAAUUUCUUGAAAAAAUUUAAUAAUUUAUAAAUAAAAUUUUAAAAAUUUUAAUUUAAUUUUAAUAAAUUAAAAAAAUAAUUUUAAAAAUUAAAUUUAAUUUAUAAUAAUGAUUAUAUUAGUAUAAAAAAUUAAUUUUAAAUUUUUUUUAAUUUAAUAAAUUUAUUUUAAUAAUUAGGCAAUUUAAAUUUAUUUAUAAAAUUAAUUUCACCUGUUUAUCAAAAACAUGGUUUUUUGAAUAUAUUUUAAGAUUUGUUCUGCUCAAUGAUUUUAAUUAAAUAGCCGCAGUAUUUUGACUGUGCUAAGGUAGCAUAAUCAAUUGUUUUUUAAAUGAAAACUGGAAUGAAGGAAUUAAUGAAAAUUAAACUGUUUUAAUUAAAAAUUUAAAAUUUAAAUUUUAAGUUAAAAUGCUUAAAUAAAAUUAUGGGACGAGAAGACCCUAUAGAAUUUAAUAUAAUAUUUAAAUAAAAUUUUAAUUUAAAGUUUAUAUAUUUUAUUGGGAGGAUAUUUAAAUUUCAUUAACUUUAAUUAAAUUAAUCAUAAAUUAAUGAAAAUAAUAAAUGAAUGAUUUAAUAUAAUUAUUAAAUUAUUUAAAAAUUAAUUUAUAUAUAUAUAUAUAUAUAUAUAUAUAUAUAUAUAUAUAUAUAUAUAUAUAUAUAUAUAUAUAUUUUAUUGGGAGGAUAUUUAAAUUUCAUUAACUUUAAUUAAAUUAAUCAUAAAUUAAUGAAAAUAAUAAAUGAAUGAUUUAAUAUAAUUAUUAAAUUAUUUAAAAAUUAAUUACCUUAGGGAUAACAGCGUGAUAUUAUUAGAAAGAUCAUAUUGAUAUUAAUGUUUGCGACCUCGAUGUUGAAUUAAAAUUAAAAUUAAAUGAAGAAGUUUAAUUAUUUAGUCUGUUCGACUAUUAAAAUUUUACAUGAUUUGAGUUCAGAUCGGUGUAAGCCAGAUCGGUUUCUAUCUAUAAUUAAAUAAAAUAUUUUUGUACGAAAGGACUUUAUAUUAAAAAAAAUUUUUUAAUUUUUAAAUUAAAUAAUUA